Gorilla gorilla gorilla (western lowland gorilla) is the source of this 229-nucleotide long non-coding RNA. RefSeq lists it as uncharacterized. Lineage: Eukaryota; Metazoa; Chordata; Mammalia; Primates; Hominidae. The record is from RefSeq and is a predicted model, not a curated record. The transcript is spliced from 3 exons.
ACUACAUGGACAUUGAGAUAUUCAAUAUAUGAAGGAAGAAUUUUUACAGCAUUCAGGUGAAUUUGUCCUCAACUGCUUAUGUAAGGGCUCCACAUAGUUAUAUCAUCAUGAUUUUAGACUCGUCCUGCCAAAUGGUUUCUUCUAAAACAAGGUUUGGGUUCGCAAAGCUUAUUCGGGGAAGCAAUCACAUGUAUCAGAAGUGGAGGACUGGGAAGCAUGAUACAGGCAG